This 514-nucleotide unclassified non-coding RNA is filed under the name Hevea brasiliensis (rubber tree). The record is from RNAcentral. Lineage: Eukaryota; Viridiplantae; Streptophyta; Magnoliopsida; Malpighiales; Euphorbiaceae.
GGGGGCUAGUUUGAGCCUGCUAAUAAAGACAAUGUGACCCUAAGACCAUACAGAUGGAGAGGAAAACUUCUAAAGUGCAAAUGACUAGACAUUAACUGAAAGCAUCCAUGGAUGCCAACAUAUUUUAUCAUAUGCAUUACUUAUCACACAGAUUCCGAACAGGGACUAUGAUAUGUGAAUAGAGAAACAUGUUAAUCACAAUAAACCUUCUAAAGACCAUACAAAUUGUUCCUGGCUAAAGCAGGGAACAGAUGGAAGAAUUGAAUGGAAGAUUAAGAAAAAUAUUGAUCAACCAAUUUCUUAAGACAAUUAAGCAUUUUCUAAAAGGUUAAUACCUUUUUUUAAUUUAAAGUAAGACAACAAGCAUGAACAACAUUUCUCCACAGUUUUUUCACUUUCACACAGUCUCCACUAUUUACCCUCAACUAGUUUACAUUUUCACAAAUAGAGUUAUCUCUUACUAUAAGAUAACCAUCGGAAAGUUUACUUACCUCAACAUUCGAUGGAAAACUUU